CCGUGCAGCCGGGGAGUUAGCGGUGCCCUGUACCUGCAAUCCGCUACAGCAGGGGUGAUAUCCCGCCCAGGGUUCCUUCUUGUGGAGCAGCCCUUUAUAAGUGGCGUUGACGUCUGGGUCUUACGCAACAGGAAUCUAUGAACCGUGUCAGGUCAGGAAUGAAGCAGCACUAAGUAGAACCUCCUGUGUGCCGUGAGGGUGCCUGGGCCGAGUUAACUGUAAAGGUAACGUCUAUGAUGGGAAUUCAAAGCGGGAUGCACGG
This 262-nucleotide signal recognition particle RNA is filed under the name Diplocloster agilis. RNAcentral describes it as "Bacterial large signal recognition particle RNA". It matches the Rfam family "Bacterial large signal recognition particle RNA". Rfam says of the family: The signal recognition particle (SRP) is a universally conserved ribonucleoprotein involved in the co-translational targeting of proteins to membranes. Archaeal SRP consists of a 7S RNA and homologues of the eukaryotic SRP19 and SRP54 proteins. Lineage: Bacteria; Bacillati; Bacillota; Clostridia; Lachnospirales; Lachnospiraceae. The record is from Rfam by way of RNAcentral.